This 449-nucleotide ribosomal RNA is filed under the name uncultured bacterium. RNAcentral describes it as "partial 16S ribosomal RNA". It matches the Rfam family "Bacterial small subunit ribosomal RNA", at positions 29 to 523 of the family's 1533-position model. The record is from RNAcentral.
AACGAACGCUGGCGGCAGGCCUAACACAUGCAAGUCGAACGGACCCUUCGGGGUUAGUGGCGCACGGGUGAGUAACACGUGGGAACGUGCCCUUGAGUACGGAACAACAGUUGGAAACGACUGCUAAUACCGUAUAAUAUCGCGAGGUCAAAGAUUUAUCGCUCAAGGAUCGGCCCGCGUUAGAUUAGGUAGUUGGUGGGGUAAAAGCCUACCAAGCCUACGAUCUAUAGCUAGUCUUAGAGGAUGACCAGCCACACUGGAACUGAGACACGGUCCAGACUCCUACGGGAGGCAGCAGUGAGGAAUAUUGGACAAUGGGCGAAAGCCUGAUCCAGCCAUGCCGCGUGAAUGAUGAAGGCCUUAGGGUUGUAAAGUUCUUUUAGUAGUGAAGAUGAUGACGGUAACUACAGAAAAAGCUCCGGCUAACUCCGUGCCAGCCGCCGCAGUAA